This 499-nucleotide ribosomal RNA is filed under the name uncultured bacterium. RNAcentral's name for it is "bacterial SSU rRNA". It matches the Rfam family "Bacterial small subunit ribosomal RNA", at positions 30 to 504 of the family's 1533-position model. The record is from RNAcentral.
CGAACGCUGGCGGCGUACUUAACACAUGCAAGUCGCACGAGAAAUUCCGAUUCGUCGGGAGAGUAAAGUGGCGAACGGGUGAGUAAUACGAGGGUAAUCUACCCUUAAAUUAGGGAUAACCUUGCGAAAGCGAAGCUAAUACCUGAUAAGACUACGAUCUUCUAGGAGAUAGUAGGAAAAGAUGGCCUCUGUUUCAUGCUAUUGUUUAAGGAUGAGCCCUUGCACUAUUAGCUUGUUGGUGGGGUAAUGGCCUACCAAGGCUACGAUGGUUAGCUGGUCUGAGAGGAUGAUCAGCCACACUGGAACUGAGACACGGUCCAGACUCCUACGGGAGGCAGCAGUGAGGAAUAUUGCGCAAUGGGGGAAACCCUGACGCAGUGACGCCGCGUGAGCGAUGAAGGCUUUCGAGUCGUAAAGCUCUGUUAGGUGGAAAGAAACAUUCCAGUGCCAAUACCACUGGAACUUGACGGUACCACCAGAGGAAGCACCGGCUAACUCC